GACGAACGCUGGCGGCGUGCUUAACACAUGCAAGUCGAACGGAAAGGCCCUGCUUUUGUGGGGUGCUCGAGUGGCGAACGGGUGAGUAACACGUGAGUAACCUGCCCUUGACUUUGGGAUAACUUCAGGAAACUGGGGCUAAUACCGGAUAGGAGCUCCUGCUGCAUGGUGGGGGUUGGAAAGUUUCGGCGGUUGGGGAUGGACUCGCGGCUUAUCAGCUUGUUGGUGGGGUAGUGGCUUACCAAGGCUUUGACGGGUAGCCGGCCUGAGAGGGGGACCGGCCACAAUGGGCCUACGGGAGGCCCCAGAAUGCUACGGGAGGCAGCGGGCGGGAGUAUGACACAAUGGGCGGAAGCCUGAUGCGGCAACGCCGCGUGCGGAAUGACGGCCUUCGGGUUGUGAACCGCUUUGGACUGUGACAAAGCGGGAGUGACGGUAAUGGGUAAAGAAGCACCGGCUAACUACGUG
Molecule: ribosomal RNA, 468 nt
Filed under: uncultured bacterium
Lineage: Bacteria
Description: partial 16S ribosomal RNA
Rfam family: Bacterial small subunit ribosomal RNA
Source: RNAcentral